CUUGUCCCCAUACGGUCACCGAAGUUAAGCAACGCCGAGCCUGAUCAGUACCUAGGUGAGUGACAGCUCGGGAAUACCAAGUGCUGCA
Acanthosepion pharaonis is the source of this 88-nucleotide non-coding RNA. The record is from the annotation of a GenBank genome assembly. Lineage: Eukaryota; Metazoa; Mollusca; Cephalopoda; Sepiida; Sepiidae.